GGUCCCUGUGGUGAAAUUCAUGUUGAGUUGCAAACUCAGUGAUGUACAUUGAGAGUGUACCGGGGCCU
Molecule: transfer RNA, 68 nt
Filed under: Tachybaptus ruficollis (little grebe)
Lineage: Eukaryota; Metazoa; Chordata; Aves; Podicipediformes; Podicipedidae
Description: tRNA-Cys
Source: RNAcentral